Molecule: ribosomal RNA, 172 nt
Filed under: uncultured bacterium
Lineage: Bacteria
Description: partial 16S ribosomal RNA
Rfam family: Bacterial small subunit ribosomal RNA
Source: RNAcentral
CCUACGGGAGGCAGCAGUGGGGAAUAUUGCACAAUGGGCGCAAGCCUGAUGCAGCAACGCCGCGUGAAUGAUGAAGGCCUUCGGGUCGUAAAGUUCUGUCCUAAGGGAAGAAUACAGUGACGGUACCUUAGGAGGAAGCCCCGGCUAACUACGUGCCAGCAGCCGCGGUAAU